UACACACGUAAAAACACACAAGUUGUAACAAACCUGCAGCAGACUUGUAGCAAUGCUGUUCCAACAACUUGUCAACAGGAUGUGUUCGCACUGCUUGUUCCCAGCUUGUUGACAACUUGCUACAAGGUUGUUGAGCUCAACAGACUUGUUGCAAGUUGUUCCAACAACUUGUUAUCGUCCUGCAAUUCAACAAUUUUUCAACAAGUUGCGAGUGACAACCUUGUAGCAACUUGAUGAAAUAACAACAUUGUUACAACUUGU
RNAcentral lists this long non-coding RNA (261 nucleotides) under Paramuricea clavata. Lineage: Eukaryota; Metazoa; Cnidaria; Anthozoa; Malacalcyonacea; Plexauridae. The record is from RNAcentral.